GUCUAUGGCCAUUGCCACCCUGAAUAAGCCUGAUCCCUUCUGAUCUCGGAAGCUUAAGCAGGGUCAGGCCUGGUUAGUACUUGUAUGGGAGACCACCUAGGAAGACCAGGUGCUAUAGGCG
Molecule: ribosomal RNA, 121 nt
Filed under: Pteropus alecto (black flying fox)
Lineage: Eukaryota; Metazoa; Chordata; Mammalia; Chiroptera; Pteropodidae
Source: RNAcentral